This 375-nucleotide ribosomal RNA is filed under the name uncultured bacterium. RNAcentral's name for it is "bacterial SSU rRNA". It matches the Rfam family "Bacterial small subunit ribosomal RNA", at positions 138 to 507 of the family's 1533-position model. The record is from RNAcentral.
GAGGGAUAACACUGAAGUAAUUGGUACUAACUACCCAAUAAUUACUUCGGGAAGGCAUUCUUUUGGAGUUGAAAGUUCCGGCGGUUAGAGAUGGGCAUGCGUUGUAUUAGCUAGAUGGUGAGGUAAUGGCUCACCAUGGCGACGAUACAUAGGGGGACUGAGAGGUUAACCCCCCACAUUGGUACUGAGACACGGUCCAGACUCCUACGGGAGGCAGCAGUGAGGAAUAUUGGUCAAUGGACGCAAGUCUGAACCAGCCAUGCCGCGUGCAGGAAGACGGCUCUAUGAGUUGUAAACUGCUUUUAUGCGAGGGUAAACGCAGGUACGUGUACCUGUCUGAAAGUAUCGCAAGAAUAAGGAUCGGCUAACUCCGUG